CAAUUCUCAAGCUUCAAGUUCUGCUCCUGUACAAAGUAGCAUCCUCUGGCGUUUGUAAAGAUGGUUGCACACCAUGUUUCCUCCCUAGAAGAGCAAGUGCUUGAAGCAGAGAAGACUCAUGGCACCUUUCUUAAUACUGUUUGCAAAUUAUUUCAAUGUACAGCUAUCCCUUCUUUGAAAAAUAGACAUCAUCCAUCAGCAGCACUCUCCUAUGAUCUGCCUAAACUCUACAGAACGGAAGACUUUUUUCCUAUGAACUAUGUAGGUACAAAGUAUCAAAACCAUUAAUGUUUGAUUACCAACAGCUUUCUAGGAAAGGCUGCCUCAGUUUGUUCUUAUGGGUCAUACUUUGUUUUAACGUUAGAAAGAAGCAACUGUUACAUUUCAGAUCUGUGGUUAGCAUCUUCAAGGGAAGCUUAAACUUUUUGAUCACAGUGUGGGUAUAUAUGCAGCCUGGAGCAUCUAUUCUGUGAUUUGGUCGCACUAGUUUGCUCCAUAAACUUACUACAUCAGUGAAGAAAAUGUACAAGAACUCCCUUUGUUUACCUUCACACUUUAAAAAUCUUUUUAUACCUACGAUGAUCAGAAGGUU
RNAcentral lists this long non-coding RNA (592 nucleotides) under Apteryx rowi (Okarito brown kiwi). RNAcentral describes it as "lncRNA (ENSARWG00000007068.1)". Lineage: Eukaryota; Metazoa; Chordata; Aves; Apterygiformes; Apterygidae. The record is from RNAcentral.